This 294-nucleotide unclassified non-coding RNA is filed under the name Hevea brasiliensis (rubber tree). Lineage: Eukaryota; Viridiplantae; Streptophyta; Magnoliopsida; Malpighiales; Euphorbiaceae. The record is from RNAcentral.
AUCUAAACCAGAGCCAACUGAGAUUACUUUAAAGACAGAUGAUGCUUUUGAUCUAGGUGAUGCUUAUAAGCUGGCCGUUGGAAACGAUUGCGGGGAAGUUUCCAGGUCAAAAAGUGAUGAGAUCCCAAAGAGUGAAACAGAAUUGGAUUCUAAACCAGAGCCAAAUGAGAGUAGUUCACAGGCAGAUGAUGCUUUUGAUCUAGGUGAUGCUUAUAAGCUGGCCGUUGGAAACGAUUGCGGGGAAGUUUCCAGGUCAAAAAGUGAUGAGAUCCCAAAGAGUGAAACAGAAUUGGA